This 539-nucleotide ribosomal RNA is filed under the name Phomopsis sp. PhFX-1. Its description in RNAcentral is "eukaryotic LSU rRNA". The stretch from base 188 to 341 matches the Rfam family "5.8S ribosomal RNA". The record is from RNAcentral. RNAcentral also lists the same sequence under 1 other name. Lineage: Eukaryota; Fungi; Ascomycota; Sordariomycetes; Diaporthales; Diaporthaceae.
AGGGAUCAUUGCUGGAACGCGCCCCGGCGCACCCAGAAACCCUUUGUGAACUUAUACCUUACUGUUGCCUCGGCGCAGGCCGGCCUCUUAGCUGAGGCCCCCCGGAGACGGGGAGCAGCCCGCCGGCGGCCAACCUAACUCUUGUUUUUACACUGUAUCUCUGAGUAAAAAAACAUAAAUGAAUCAAAACUUUCAACAACGGAUCUCUUGGUUCUGGCAUCGAUGAAGAACGCAGCGAAAUGCGAUAAGUAAUGUGAAUUGCAGAAUUCAGUGAAUCAUCGAAUCUUUGAACGCACAUUGCGCCCUCUGGUAUUCCGGAGGGCAUGCCUGUUCGAGCGUCAUUUCAACCCUCAAGCCUGGCUUGGUGUUGGGGCACUGCCUGUAAAAGGGCAGGCCCUGAAAUCUAGUGGCGAGCUCGCUAGGACCCCGAGCGUAGUAGUUAUAUCUCGUUCUGGAAGGCCCUGGCGGUGCCCUGCCGUUAAACCCCCAACUUCUGAAAAUUUGACCUCGGAUCAGGUAGGAAUACCCGCUGAACUUAA